Molecule: long non-coding RNA, 611 nt
Filed under: Helianthus annuus (common sunflower)
Lineage: Eukaryota; Viridiplantae; Streptophyta; Magnoliopsida; Asterales; Asteraceae
Description: hypothetical non coding rna
Source: RNAcentral
GGGGUGUUUAAAUCCAUUAACCCAUUUAUAAAUAAUAUUUUUGUUCCAUUUCACCGCAACGCGCGACCUUUAACAAACCUAGUCUUAUAUUAAGAACAAGAGAUCGAUCAUGCCCUAUUUCGGUUUCUAUUAUCACUCAAAUUACAUUCACCCUCGUAUAUCUUUUAAUAUUAAAAAUAAAUAUCAUUUUAUCAUAUAUCAAUCAACAAAAGCAUAAUACGAGUAGUACAAACAUGACAGAAAAUAGAAAAACAACAUUAAAAAAGUGUUUGGAAUCAAAAUAUGCAAUAAUGCAUGCGCAUGUUAGACCUAAACCAAUUUGGAUGAUUUCAACUACAUAAUUGCCACAGACGGCAACGAAGACGCAAAGAGCACAUAAUCAUGUCGAUUACCAGACCUAACAAACAGGUAGAUGACAUGUUCUAACACAAGAUAACGACAUCCCGAUUAGGAUAAAACAAGCAAUAAAACACAAUAAUGCUCAUAUGAAAAAAAAAAAAUAGGAUACAUUAUGGAAAUGCCAAACCCAAAAGCAGUGGACUGUACAGAAAGUUUCGUACAGAACAUGUGUUCCUAGCCGAGAAUAAAAAGCUCUACUGCGUUCGUUAUAC